AGCUUUUUGUAUCCGUGCUUAGAUUUCGUCAUACACCAGAUCACAAAGUUGAUAAGACUCCCCAGAUAUGUUUAACA
This 77-nucleotide microRNA precursor is filed under the name Schistosoma curassoni. RNAcentral describes it as "mir-3492 microRNA precursor family". It matches the Rfam family "mir-3492 microRNA precursor family". Lineage: Eukaryota; Metazoa; Platyhelminthes; Trematoda; Strigeidida; Schistosomatidae. The record is from Rfam by way of RNAcentral.